CCCGCACCAACCCACCACCCCGCCGUGUGGGCGUUUCCGCGGCGUCUGCUCCGCAGUCUCCUCCAUCUCCACCUCCUCCCCGCAGCAGGCGCCGGCACCGAGCGACGGCGACGACGCCAACGGGCGCACCGGCGUGCCCGUGCCCUUCUCCCGUGCCCUCCCUGGCGGCGGCUCCUCGUCGACGCCUUCGCCCCUUCCCCGUCCAGCGGCGACCCGGCGGGGUCCAUGCACGCCGUUCACAAGGAGCAAGUCGGAGAUGUUCGGCUUCACGGAGGGCUGCCUGCCCAUGCGCCGCUGGGACGAGCCCAACGCCUUCUUUGAGAAAUCCGUGGCGAAGAUCGUGUUCGGGCUCAACGCACUCAACAGCCUGGUGCCACUGCAGGGCGGCGCGCCAUGGGAGGAAACUGGGACACCACGAACGCGGUGUUGUUCAUCCGGUACACCGCCGGCAAGGGCUACAAAAUCCAUGGCUGGGAGCUCGGUAUGGGACAGAGAGAUAAUACUCACAGUACUAGCCGAACACUACGGCAAGGACCUCCAGCAUGACAUCACCAAAGUAAGUUGCAAACCAAAUCAGCCAGCACUGAAUGGCUGGGACAAGGCCAAGGCUACCAAGCCUCCAUUGUAUGUGCGCCAACUCUGCUGACACUGCAGCUGUGGUGUGGCUCCCUCGCUGCUAAAUUCAGUCCUCCAAUGGUCCAACCCUCAGUACCUCCUCCUUUUCCUUCGGCCUGGAGCACAGUGAGCCGGUCGGCAUGGUUUGCGGUAAGAGAGGAAGAAGAACCCUAUUUGCAGUUGAGGUCUGUUCCCAUGUAGUACUACCAAACUACUUUCCUUACUCAUGUCUCUCCUGUCUUCUCAAUACUGCUAGCGCCACCUUAAGCACGUGGAAUUUUAUUGCAGUGUGCAAACUGAACUUCCUAUCGUUGGCGUCAGUAUUCCCGUGUGCAAGCUAAAUGGGCAAUGCAUGACUCUUUCCCUGAUUCUUUUUUCAUUUUGGAAUCUAAAGGACAAUAAUUUUAUUAUUGACAUAUAUUUACUUGAUCUUGAACGAUCUGCUCUGCUGCACUUAUACAUAUAUGUGCAUUGGGUUCUGUUCAGAGAAGUUUGGAUCUAUACUUUUAUGAGCAGUCCACUACACGAUCUCUUCGUAUCUAUUAUUUGUCGAUCUACCAACAAUUUCUUAAUUAAAGAAGGAAGAAUGGAUGAAGCAGAAGAUUACUUAAGUUCAGUAAAGGCAUCCAAUACUGCCCCCUUGAUGGUCAGAAUCAUUGCCACAUGAAAACACUUUUGCCAGUUUGCAUGAAUUAGUCUGUUCUUUUCAUGAAUAUUCUGCAGAGAGUUCAUUAUGCUCUGCUAUUUGCCCUUGCUUCAAAUAAAAUCGGCCGCUUAACUGCAAGUAUUGUCAAAGUAAUACCUUCUAUGAUUAUUGAAUAGUUGCUUGCAUGUGAUUGUGAGUUUUAACUACAUGGGAAUAUGGAUCUCAAUGCUUACCUAUGUAUAGGUUCUCAUGCUCUUCAUAUAUUAUACAAUGCUAUUUUCAUUUUCUAUCAGUUGCCUUGGCGCAGUGGUAAAGCUGCUGCCUUGUGACCAUGAGGUCAUGGGUUCAAGUCCUGGAAACAGUCUCUUACAGAAAUGUAGGGAAAGGCUGCGUACUAUAGACCCAAAGUGGUCGGACCCUUCCCUGGACCCUGCGCAAGCGGGAGCUACAUGCACCAGGUUGCCCUUUUUAUCAGUUGUCUCGGACAUGUGUUUUGAUGUGUUCUGUUCUCAUGCUACCUAUACCAAGGGGUUGCCAAAGUUCAGAAGUAGGCUACGGGUAAGCUCUCCUCAACUAUCAGAUAAUUCUCACUCCUUCAGUAUAAUGGUGUUUGUUAAUUCCCAAUCCAUGGACACAUGCUUCCUACCCAUUCAAUUUGUUCAUGUUCUAGAUAAAGGAGUUUGGAUUUAAUGGGAGGAAGCGAUUAAUGUUUUGCUGUGAGUACUGGACGCAUGGUGAACGAUCUCUGAGGCAGUCCUCACACUCAUCUUGACAUGCAAUAUCCAUUUUUUUAAUUAGAUUUGUCGUGUACUCAGAUAACUAUAUUUAUGUGGAAUUGUACCCUUUGUCAUAUUUUGUUUGCUAAGAAGCCUAAUUUUUAAGUUUGGUGCAUAUACAAAGGGCCUUAAGCUAAUUCCUUGAUUUUCCAGAGGAUUAUUUCUAUGCUAAAGUAUAGAUUAUGAGUACACCCUCCUCGGUUACAUUUAUGACAAGUUCAUUUUUUUAAGUCUGCAGGAAAGAAUUUGCAGUAGAGCCACAAGAGGAAGCCAUGACAGAAUAGAGUAUUUUACAGUAGGAAAGUUGUAAUUAGUCACAUCACCAUUUAUUUUAUUAUCUCUGACAAUCAUGUGAACUAUAG
RNAcentral lists this ribosomal RNA (2399 nucleotides) under Triticum aestivum (bread wheat). RNAcentral's name for it is "partial small subunit ribosomal RNA". Lineage: Eukaryota; Viridiplantae; Streptophyta; Magnoliopsida; Poales; Poaceae. The record is from RNAcentral.